This 549-nucleotide ribosomal RNA is filed under the name uncultured Glomus. Its description in RNAcentral is "SSU rRNA". It matches the Rfam family "Eukaryotic small subunit ribosomal RNA", at positions 548 to 1098 of the family's 1831-position model. Lineage: Eukaryota; Fungi; Glomeromycota; Glomeromycetes; Glomerales; Glomeraceae. The record is from RNAcentral.
UUGGAGGGCAAGUCUGGUGCCAGCAGCCGCGGUAAUUCCAGCUCCAAUAGCGUAUAUUAAAGUUGUUGCAGUUAAAAAGCUCGUAGUUGAAUUUCGGGACCAGUAGGUUGGUCGUGCUUACGGUACGUACUGGCUUCACUGGUUCCUCCCUUCUGACAAACCAUGAUGCCAUUAAUUUGGUGUUGUGGGGAAUCAGGACUGUUACUGUGAAAAAAUUAGAGUGUUUAAAGCAGGCUUAAGCUUGAAUACAUUAGCAUGGAAUAAUGAAAUAGGACGUUUGAUCUUAUUUUGUUGGUUUCUAAGAUCGACGUAAUGAUUAAUAGGGAUAGUUGGGGGCAUUAGUAUUCAAUUGUCAGAGGUGAAAUUCUUGGAUUUAUUGAAGACUAACUACUGCGAAAGCAUUUGCCAAGGAUGUUUUCAUUAAUCAAGAACGAAAGUUAGGGGAUCGAAGACGAUCAGAUACCGUCGUAGUCUUAACCAUAAACUAUGCCGACUAGGGAUCGGAUGAUGUUAAUUUUUUAAUGACUCAUUCGGCGCCUUACGGGAAAC